This 497-nucleotide ribosomal RNA is filed under the name uncultured bacterium. RNAcentral describes it as "partial 16S ribosomal RNA". It matches the Rfam family "Bacterial small subunit ribosomal RNA", at positions 28 to 507 of the family's 1533-position model. The record is from RNAcentral.
GAUGAACGCUGGCGGCGUGCCUAAUACAUGCAAGUCGAGCGAACAGAUGAGGAGCUUGCUCCUCUGACGUUAGCGGCGGACGGGUGAGUAACACGUGGAUAACCUACCUAUAAGACUGGGAUAACUUCGGGAAACCGGAGCUAAUACCGGAUAAUAUAUUGAACCGCAUGGUUCAAUAGUGAAAGACGGUUUUGCUGUCACUUAUAGAUGGAUCCGCGCCGCAUUAGCUAGUUGGUAAGGUAACGGCUUACCAAGGCAACGAUGCGUAGCCGACCUGAGAGGGUGAGCGGCCACACUGGAACUGAGACACGGUCCAGACUCCUACGGGAGGCAGCAGUAGGGAAUCUUCCGCAAUGGGCGAAAGCCUGACGGAGCAACGCCGCGUGAGUGAUGAAGGUCUUCGGAUCGUAAAACUCUGUUAUUAGGGAAGAACAAAUGUGUAAGUAACUAUGAACGUCUUGACGGUACCUAAUCAGAAAGCCACGGCUAACUACGUG